Peromyscus maniculatus bairdii (prairie deer mouse) is the source of this 68-nucleotide small nucleolar RNA. Its record names the gene SNORD115. It matches the Rfam family "Small nucleolar RNA SNORD115". Rfam says of the family: HBII-52 is a member of the C/D class of snoRNAs, which contain the C (UGAUGA) and D (CUGA) box motifs. HBII-52 is encoded in a tandemly repeated array with another C/D snoRNA, HBII-85, in the Prader-Willi syndrome (PWS) region of chromosome 15. Lineage: Eukaryota; Metazoa; Chordata; Mammalia; Rodentia; Cricetidae. The record is from Ensembl.
CAAUGUUCUGAAAACACACUUCUGUGAGAUGAUGACAUAAAAAUCAUGCUCAAUAGGAUUACGCCGAG